This 648-nucleotide ribosomal RNA is filed under the name Paenibacillus polymyxa. RNAcentral's name for it is "bacterial LSU rRNA". It matches the Rfam family "Bacterial large subunit ribosomal RNA", at positions 889 to 1540 of the family's 2925-position model. Lineage: Bacteria; Bacillati; Bacillota; Bacilli; Caryophanales; Paenibacillaceae. The record is from RNAcentral.
AAGAAUCGUGGAGGUAGAGCACUGAUUGGGUGCGGGGCCCGCAAGGGUUACCAAGCUCAGUCAAACUCCGAAUGCCAUAGAUUUAGUUCCGGGAGUCAGACAGUGAGUGCUAAGAUCCAUUGUCGAAAGGGAAACAGCCCAGACCAUCAGCUAAGGUCCCCAAGUGUGUGUUAAGUGGGAAAGGAUGUGGAGUUGCACAGACAACCAGGAUGUUGGCUUAGAAGCAGCCACCAUUGAAAGAGUGCGUAAUAGCUCACUGGUCGAGUGACUCUGCGCCGAAAAUGUAACGGGGCUAAACACACCACCGAAGCUAUGGCUUGAUGCUUGCAUCAGGGGUAGGGGAGCGUUGAAUGCGGGUUGAAGGUGUACCGGAAGGAGCGCUGGACUGCAUUCAAGUGAGAAUGCCGGUAUGAGUAACGAAAAGAUCUGUGAGAAUCAGAUCCGCCGAAAGCCUAAGGGUUCCUGAGGAAGGUUCGUCCGCUCAGGGUAAGUCGGGACCUAAGGCGAGGCCGAUAGGCGUAGUCGAAGGACAACAGGUAGAAAUUCCUGUACCACCGUAAUCCGCUAUGAGCGAUGGGGUGACGCAGUAGGGUAGUGACGCGGACUGAUGGAUGUCCGUCUAAGCAGUGAGGCUGAUGUGUAGGCAAA